Hyla sarda is the source of this 588-nucleotide long non-coding RNA. RefSeq lists it as uncharacterized. NCBI's taxonomy places the organism in Eukaryota, Metazoa, Chordata, Amphibia, Anura, Hylidae. The record is from RefSeq and is a predicted model, not a curated record. The transcript is spliced from 2 exons.
UGUUUUUCAGCCAAUCAGAGAGCAGCACUACUGAAAUAGAACUCUCAGGAGGUAACAGCGUGUCACACAUGUGAUGUCAUAACCAUUGUCCACCAGAGAGCAGCACUGAGCAGAUAUAACACUGCUCCUGCUCAUUCUUCAUCAGUGAGGGGCUGAUGCUGGACACUGUAGGGGCCGAGAAUGCAAAGUCACAUACACUACUGUGACUGAUAAUCUAUCUUUUGUUUUCCUAUCUUAGAUGCACUAUUUCCAGGAUGUGGAGUAGCAUUUCCGGACCUACAGCAAGACGUUGGAUGAAGACGUAGAUUUCCAGACCUAUUCCAGAAGAAUUUGGAUGAAGGCACAGCCCCUCGAAUCACGCACAUACACAGACACAUUUGGCCAAAUUCUAGAGGUAACCUCCUUUAGUAUGCCCAGAGGAAGGGCAAUACAGUAGCCAUGGAUUCCCUACAGGUUUCCUCCCCUCUGGAGGUUUUUCCUGUCCUGAGUAUUAGUUACUGUACACUCUUUGUGAGUGAUGGAGGUUACAAAAAAUCCCCUACACAAACAUUUUUAUAUAUAAUAAAUAAAGUUCCCCUUUUUAAACCA